ACGCACGCUGGCGGCGUGCUUAACACAUGCAAGUCGAACGGAAAGGCCCUGCUUUUGUGGGGUGCUCGAGUGGCGAACGGGUGAGUAACACGUGAGUAACCUGCCCUUGACUUUGGGAUAACUUCAGGAAACUGGGGCUAAUACCGGAUAGGAGCUCCUGCUGCAUGGUGGGGGUUGGAAAGUUUCGGCGGCUGGGGAUGGACUCGCGGCUUAUCAGCUUGUUGGUGGGGUAGUGGCUUACCAAGGCUUUGACGGGUAGCCGGCCUGAGAGGGUGACCGGCCACAUUGGGACUGAGAUACGGCCCAGACUCCUACGGGAGGCAGCAGUGGGGAAUAUUGCACAAUGGGCGGAAGCCUGAUGCAGCAACGCCGCGUGCGGGAUGACGGCCUUCGGGUUGUAAACCGCUUUCGCCUGUGACGAAGCGUGAGUGACGGUAAUGGGUAAAGAAGCACCGGCUAACUACGUG
Molecule: ribosomal RNA, 467 nt
Filed under: uncultured bacterium
Lineage: Bacteria
Description: partial 16S ribosomal RNA
Rfam family: Bacterial small subunit ribosomal RNA
Source: RNAcentral